UUGAAAGGGAAACGAUUGAAGUCAGUCGUACCGACGAGAAAUCAGCUUGUCGUGUGUUAACUUGUGGGCGUGCGUGAGUUUCGGCCUCGCUGUUUGCAAGUUUGUGCGCUUUGGGUGUACUUUUUCGUAUGGUUGGCCAACAUCAGUUUCGAUUACUAUAAAAUGACUGGCGGAAUGUAGCUUCGAUUUCGGUUGAAGUGUUAUAGCCUCUGGUAGAUGUGGUAAUUGGGACUGAGGAUUGCAACGAAUAUCCUUUGGGCUAUCCGUCUGGCCUCUGAAAGUUGCUUGGGUGCUGAAAGCUUGCUUAUGGUUAUCUAAGUUAACGGUCAAUAGGUUAGAACGCGAUUACAUUCGUUAAGGAUGUUGACGUA
RNAcentral lists this ribosomal RNA (371 nucleotides) under uncultured Glomeromycotina. RNAcentral's name for it is "eukaryotic LSU rRNA". Lineage: Eukaryota; Fungi; Glomeromycota. The record is from RNAcentral.